Molecule: ribosomal RNA, 497 nt
Filed under: uncultured bacterium
Lineage: Bacteria
Description: partial 16S ribosomal RNA
Rfam family: Bacterial small subunit ribosomal RNA
Source: RNAcentral
GAUGAACGCUGGCGGCGUGCCUAAUACAUGCAAGUCGAGCGAACAGACGAGGCGCUUGCUCCUCUGACGUUAGCGGCGGACGGGUGAGUAACACGUGGAUAACCUACCUAUAAGACUGGGAUCACUUCGGGAAACCGGCGCUAAUACCGGAUAAUAUCUUGAACCGCAUUGUUCAAUGGUGAAAGACGGUUUUGCUGUCACUUCUCGAUGCAUCCCGGCCGCAUUAGCUAGUUGUUAAGGUAACGGCCUACCAAGGGAACGAUGCGUAGCCGACCUGAGAGGGUGAUCGGCCACCUGGGAACGGAGACAGGGUCCAUACGCCUGCGGGAGGCAGCAGUAGGGAAUCUUCCGCAAUGGGCGAGAGCUUGACGGAACAACGCCGCGUGAGUGAUGAAGGUGUUCGGAGCGUAAAACUCUGUUAUUAGGGAAGAACAAAUGUGGAAUUAGCUAUGCAGGUCUUGACGGUACCUGAUCAGAAAGCCACGGCUAACUACGUG